RNAcentral lists this ribosomal RNA (580 nucleotides) under uncultured eukaryote. Its description in RNAcentral is "bacterial SSU rRNA". It matches the Rfam family "Eukaryotic small subunit ribosomal RNA", at positions 619 to 1200 of the family's 1831-position model. The record is from RNAcentral.
UUAAAAAGCUCGUAGUUGGAUUUCUGCGGGAGACGAAGGGUCUACCUUACGGGUAAGCAUCUCUCAGGCUCCUGCAUCCUCAACAGGAACGUCGCUGCGAUUCAUUUCGUGGUACGGUACUGUUGACUUUUACUUUGAGGAAAUUAGAGUGUUCACGGCAAGCAAACGCGUGUAUACAUUAGCAUGGAAUAAUAAUAUAGGACCUUGGAUCUAUUUUGUUGGUUUCUAGAACUAAGGUAAUGAUAAAUAGGGACAGUUUGGGGGCAUUUGUACUAACGCGUCAGAGGUGGAAUUCUUGGAUUGCGUUAUGACAAACUACUGCGAAAGCAUUUGCCAAGGAUGUUUUCAUUGAUCAAGAACGAAAGUAUGGGGAUCGAAGACGAUUAGAUACCGUCGUAGUCUAUACCAUAAACCUAUGCCAACUAGGAAUGAGACGGAUGUAUAUUUUAUGACCCGUUUCCGCGCCUUAUGAGAAAUCAAAGUUUUUGGGUUCCGGGGGGAGUAUGGUCCGCAAGUCUGAAACUUAAAGGAAUUGACGGAAGGGCACCACCAGGAGUGGAGCCUGCGGCUUAAUUUGACU